This is a long non-coding RNA of Nilaparvata lugens (brown planthopper), 714 nucleotides long. RefSeq lists it as uncharacterized. The transcript has 3 exons. The record is from RefSeq and is a predicted model, not a curated record. NCBI's taxonomy places the organism in Eukaryota, Metazoa, Arthropoda, Insecta, Hemiptera, Delphacidae.
AGUGGUUUGAUUACCCGUGUUUGAUCCAGAAAGUAACAGUGAAUUUUGGUUCGGUAAAGUGCUCCAUCUGUUACUUGAACUUCUAUAAAAUGACCCUGCAACAAACCAAUUGCAAAAAUUCAGAGUUGGAGGAGGUUUUGGCUGAGCCGAGCGAGCGGAGGACUGUGAAGGCGGCGGCGAGGUGCUUGAAGGCGUCCGUCUCGGGUCCGCCUCCCGCCACGUCAAACAGCUGACGCAGUAAAAGCAUCGACGCAUACGUCUUGCCCGAGCCGCUUGUGCCUGUAACAACACCGAAACAGAACAAACACUCUCAUCACGUAUGCUAAUGAAUGGAAAAAACUGAACACAUGCUAUGUGAAUACCUGGAGCACACACACAACUGGAGGGGUGUGAUGAUGCGGGUGGGGAAGGGGGUUAAGGAACCCGCGGCUAGUAGAUUCAUGGAAACAAACAUACAGGUGCAUCAAGCCAUCAAGUGGCAAACCUCUUCCUUUAGGCAUCAGGGUGUGUACUUUGAACUUGUCUUUCACCUUUCUCAAUUUGUCUUCCUUUCUCUUGUUUUCUUUUCCUUCUCCUCACCCUCAUCAGCUCUCGUUUUCUUCUCUUUCCAAAGUGAUACGUAAUUUUACAUUUUCCACCUUUCCCUCAUUUCCUCUACGAAUUUUCCCCUUCUCACUUCAGCUCUCAAUUACAAUUUUCCUAGCUGAUAGUGCU